RNAcentral lists this ribosomal RNA (571 nucleotides) under Sarocladium oryzae. Its description in RNAcentral is "partial 28S ribosomal RNA". It matches the Rfam family "Eukaryotic large subunit ribosomal RNA", at positions 70 to 668 of the family's 3401-position model. The record is from RNAcentral. Lineage: Eukaryota; Fungi; Ascomycota; Sordariomycetes; Hypocreales; Sarocladiaceae.
AGGGNAUGCCUCAGUACGGCGAGUGAGCGGCAACAGCUCAAAUUUGAAAUCUGGCCGCAAGGUCCGAGUUGUAAUUUGCAGAGGAUGCUUUUGGCGAGGUGCCUUCCGAGUUCCCUGGAACGGGACGCCAUAGAGGGUGAGAGCCCCGUACGGUUGGACCACCGAGCCUCUGUAAAGCUCCUUCGACGAGUCGAGUAGUUUGGGAAUGCUGCUCUAAAUGGGAGGUGUACGUCUUCUAAAGCUAAAUACCGGCCAGAGACCGAUAGCGCACAAGUAGAGUGAUCGAAAGAUGAAAAGCACUUUGAAAAGAGGGUUAAAAAGUACGUGAAAUUGUUGAAAGGGAAGCGUUUAUGACCAGACUUGGGCUUGGUUGAACAUCCGGCGUUCUCGCCGGUGCACUCUGCCAGUCCAGGCCAGCAUCAGUUUGUCCCGGGGGAUAAAGGCGGUGGGAAUGUGGCUCCCCCGGGAGUGUUAUAGCCCGCCGUGCAAUGCCCUGGGACGGACUGAGGAACGCGCUUCGGCACGGAUGCUGGCGUAAUGGUCAUCAACGACCCGUCUUGAACACGGACCA